Molecule: non-coding RNA, 328 nt
Organism: Paramuricea clavata
Lineage: Eukaryota; Metazoa; Cnidaria; Anthozoa; Malacalcyonacea; Plexauridae
Source: the annotation of a GenBank genome assembly
AUUCUAGUUAGCUAUCCAUAUCACUAUAAGACUAAGUGCUUCAGUUAUUAUUAAUAAGUGUUAGUAGAUGGACAGGAAUAUUCGACUAACGGAAAUUUACACACUUUUUAAGACCUACUCAGUUGUGUGUGAGAAGGCAAAAAUCUAUGUGCUUCAGGUAGUCUAGCAACUAUUUGCCACGUUUACUCAGUAAUACUACCACUUGCAAGUGAUGAACCAGGCGGGAAUCGCAAUCGUAGUAUAAAGAUUAAUGCUCAGCCGCAUAACGUACGCAAAAGAGCCAUAUAUGAGUGAGACAAUAAUAAAUAUAUACAUAAAGUAAUACUAA